UCAGCUUUGUAAACACCUAUAUGCCUAGAAUGGACUCCAAAACAGAUUAUUAAAGUUUAACCAGUAUAAUCUUGAAUAUGGACAAAAAGUAUACACUUGGAACACAAACAAAAACAGAUGAGUCCAUGCCAAGCUAAAGAUUAAUGCAGAAGAUAAAAGAGAACUGGAGAAGAAUGAAUUGAUGUUAACAUACUCAACAUUAAAUUUGGCUUAAAUCUAAA
Saccostrea cuccullata (small rock oyster) is the source of this 221-nucleotide long non-coding RNA. RefSeq lists it as uncharacterized. The record is from RefSeq and is a predicted model, not a curated record. The transcript is spliced from 3 exons. NCBI's taxonomy places the organism in Eukaryota, Metazoa, Mollusca, Bivalvia, Ostreida, Ostreidae.